AAAAAUGAAGCAAGCUAAAUCGAUCGAAUCUUGAAUCAAGAAUUAUAUAUUUUCAAUCAAGUUGUGGUGCAUCUACGAUAAAUGUAGAGAAAUGUUGCGCGAGAUCCAUCAAAAUUUCAAAUAAAUAAAUAUAUAUAUAUAUAUCUGUGUACGAGCAAAGAAAUCGCGAGCGAUUCUCGAUGAUCUGGAAUCACAGAUAUCAUGAUUCUCGAGAUUGCGAUCUCUCCGAUACCAACUUUUGCCGAAACCAUCGAGAACUCGCUCGAUCAUCUUACGAUUAUCGUCUAUCGAUUGAGCGAGUGGCGCGCAACGAGAGACGAUCGGACGAAAAACAAGUGUGAGCGAUCGUGAGUAAGAAUGGAUGACGAAAAGAGGAGACAGAAGGACGGCGACAAUAUGAAUCGAGUGUCUGAUAUGAGAUAGAAAGAGAGAGAGAGAGAGAGAAGAAAAAGAAAAAAGGAAACAAAAGUGGAUAAAUUUCUGAUCUCUACGUGUACUACGUGAUGGUCGGCGAGGCGAGAUCGAGAGAAUCGGCGUGUAUACGAUAGCAAGGAUAUAAUUUAGAAAUUUAGCCUCGAUUACCAACCUCGAGAACCAAUCGCGAAAUAGCAUAACUUCCGUCUCAGGGAUGAUGGUUCGAGCUGGAUCUCGAACGAGAUCUCGAGCAAUAUUUCGAGAGGAUCGUUCUUAACCCGUUUCUUAAAAUUCUAAAAAAUUCGUCUUGCAUCUCGUCUCGUAUCUAUGUACUCCCUAAGUCCGCCGAACGAAGGUAUUUAGGGUACUGACUGGAUGGUUACUAGUGUGACUCCUAGCUGUAUUGCCUGUAUUGCUGAUCUCAUCUACAGUCAUGACAAUCAUCCUAAGUAGUAGUAGUAGUAGUAGUAAUAGUAGUAGUAUAGUUGUAGUGGUAGAUUAAUAGGUCCUAGCAGGUAACAUUACAGAGCUGUAGUCUCGCACAGUAGUAGUAGUAGGUAAGUAGUGGUAGUAGUAGUAGUGGUGAUGGUAGCAGUAGGUAAGUUGUUGUAGUAAUAGUAGCGGUAAUAGCGAUAGUUCGGACAAGUCCUAGUGGCAAUUUGCUCGCUCGAUCGAUCAACGACGAAUCACGAGUAUCGAUCGAAUCGUUUGACCGAUCGAUGGAUCGCUUGGCAAUUUAUUAGGUUGUUUUAGACACACAGAGAAACACAUACACGUAUAUACCGUCGGCGAGUUGUUACUUUCGUGGUCUCGGGAGCAACCGUUGUCUCGGGUACGUAAUAGUAGUAGUAGUAGUAGUACUAGUAGUAGUAGAGUGAUGGUAGUAGCGGUAAUAGUAGUAGUAGUAGUAGUAGUAGUAGUAGUAGUAGUAGUAGUAGCAGUAUUAGUAGUAGCAGUGAUAGUACUUGGUUUCAUUUUCAGUGUGGCUAGCGGAGGUUAGGCUUACUGUUCCGCCUCUCUAUGAUAAACACGCUCUCGUAAUCUCGAUUAUCGAGGUGGAGUGCGUGAUGGUCACGAUCACGGUUCGGGGGGGCCUGCUCGUGGACCGGCUCCGAGGUGGCAGUGGCGGGGGUGGUUACUUGCGUAGGAAGUGGUGGUUGA
This 1575-nucleotide long non-coding RNA is filed under the name Apis florea (little honeybee). RNAcentral describes it as "uncharacterized LOC105735364". Lineage: Eukaryota; Metazoa; Arthropoda; Insecta; Hymenoptera; Apidae. The record is from RNAcentral.